Molecule: ribosomal RNA, 1500 nt
Filed under: metagenome
Description: bacterial SSU rRNA
Rfam family: Bacterial small subunit ribosomal RNA
Source: RNAcentral
AGAGUUUGAUCAUGGCUCAGAUUGAACGCUGGCGGCAGGCCUAACACAUGCAAGUCGAACGGUAACAGGAAGCAGCUUGCUGCUUCGCUGACGAGUGGCGGACGGGUGAGUAAUGUCUGGGAAGCUGCCUGAUGGAGGGGGAUAACUACUGGAAACGGUAGCUAAUACCGCAUAAUGUCGCAAGACCAAAGAGGGGGACCUUCGGGCCUCUUGCCAUCGGAUGUGCCCAGAUGGGAUUAGCUUGUUGGUGGGGUAACGGCUCACCAAGGCGACGAUCCCUAGCUGGUCUGAGAGGAUGACCAGCCACACUGGAACUGAGACACGGUCCAGACCCCUACGGGAGGCAGCAGUGGGGAAUAUUGCACAAUGGGCGCAAGCCUGAUGCAGCCAUGCCGCGUGUAUGAAGAAGGCCUUCGGGUUGUAAAGUACUUUCAGCGGGGAGGAAGGGAGUAAAGUUAAUACCUUUGCUCAUUGACGUUACCCGCAGAAGAAGCACCGGCUAACUCCGUGCCAGCAGCCGCGGUAAUACGGAGGGUGCAAGCGUUAAUCGGAAUUACUGGGCGUAAAGCGCACGCAGGCGGUUUGUUAAGUCAGAUGUGAAAUCCCCGGGCUCAACCUGGGAACUGCAUCUGAUACUGGCAAGCUUGAGUCUCGUAGAGGGGGGUAGAAUUCCAGGUGUAGCGGUGAAAUGCGUAGAGAUCUGGAGGAAUACCGGUGGCGAAGGCGGCCCCCUGGACGAAGACUGACGCUCAGGUGCGAAAGCGUGGGGAGCAAACAGGAUUAGAUACCCUGGUAGUCCACGCCGUAAACGAUGUCGACUUGGAGGUUGUGCCCUUGAGGCGUGGCUUCCGGAGCUAACGCGUUAAGUCGACCGCCUGGGGAGUACGGCCGCAAGGUUAAAACUCAAAUGAAUUGACGGGGGCCCGUACAAGCGGUGGAGCAUGUGGUUUAAUUCGAUGCAACGCGAAGAACCUUACCUGGUCUUGACAUCCACGGAAGUUUUCAGAGAUGAGAAUGUGCCUUCGGGAAUCGUGAGACAGGUGCUGCAUGGCUGUCGUCAGCUCGUGUUGUGAAAUGUUGGGUUAAGUCCCGCAACGAGCGCAACCCUUAUCCUUUGUUGCCAGCGGUCCGGCCGGGAACUCAAAGGAGACUGCCAGUGAUAAACUGGAGGAAGGUGGGGAUGACGUCAAGUCAUCAUAGCCCUUACGACCAGGGCUACACACGUGCUACAAUGGCGCAUACAAAGAGAAGCGACCUCGCGAGAGCAAGCGGACCUCAUAAAGUGCGUCGUAGUCCGGAUUGGAGUCUGCAACUCGACUCCAUGAAGUCGGAAUCGCUAGUAAUCGUGGAUCAGAAUGCCACGGUGAAUACGUUCCCGGGCCUUGUACACACCGCCCGUCACACCAUGGGAGUGGGUUGCAAAAGAAGUAGGUAGCUUAACCUUCGGGAGGGCGCUUACCACUUUGUGAUUCAUGACUGGGGUGAAGUCGGAACAAGGUA